RNAcentral lists this transfer RNA (69 nucleotides) under Ectoneura hanitschi. Its description in RNAcentral is "tRNA-Gln". It matches the Rfam family "tRNA". Rfam says of the family: Transfer RNA (tRNA) molecules are approximately 80 nucleotides in length. Their secondary structure includes four short double-helical elements and three loops (D, anti-codon, and T loops). Further hydrogen bonds mediate the characteristic L-shaped molecular structure. tRNAs have two regions of fundamental functional importance: the anti-codon, which is responsible for specific mRNA codon recognition, and the 3' end, to which the tRNAs corresponding amino acid is attached (by aminoacyl-tRNA synthetases). tRNAs cope with the degeneracy of the genetic code in two manners: having more than one tRNA (with a specific anti-codon) for a particular amino acid; and 'wobble' base-pairing, i.e. permitting non-standard base-pairing at the 3rd anti-codon position. Lineage: Eukaryota; Metazoa; Arthropoda; Insecta; Blattodea; Ectobiidae. The record is from RNAcentral.
UAUAUUUUGGUGUAGGGUGCACAAGAGUUUUUGAUACUCUAGGUAAUGGUUUAAUUCCAUUAAAUAUAA